Molecule: ribosomal RNA, 486 nt
Filed under: uncultured bacterium
Lineage: Bacteria
Description: partial 16S ribosomal RNA
Rfam family: Bacterial small subunit ribosomal RNA
Source: RNAcentral
GACGAACGCUGGCGGCGUGCUUAACACAUGCAAGUCGAACGCUGAAGGCCUGGCUUUUGUUGGGUUGGAUGAGUGGCGAACGGGUGAGUAACACGUGAGUAACCUGCCCUCUUCUUUGGGAUAACGCCCGGAAACGGGUGCUAAUACUGGAUAUUCACUGAUCUUCGCAUGGGGGUUGGUGGAAAGGUUUGUUCUGGUGGGGGAUGGGCUCGCGGCCUAUCAGCUUGUUGGUGGGGUGAUGGCCUACCAAGGCUUUGACGGGUAGCCGGCCUGAGAGGGUGACCGGUCACAUUGGGACUGAGAUACGGCCCAGACUCCUACGGGAGGCAGAAGUGGGGAAUAUUGCACAAUGGGCGAAAGCCUGAUGCAGCGACGCCGCGUGAGGGAUGGAGGCCGUCGGGUUGUAAACCUCUUUCGCUCAUGGUCAAGCCGCAACUGUGGGUUGUGGUGAGGGUAGUGGGUAAAGAAGCGCCGGCCAACUACGUG